UACAGGGUUUUUCCUGCGUUCAAAAUUGCGUGGCGGCCGCCUCCACCUAAUUUUGUGCCGCCCCCAGUCAGAGCGAUUGAUUUCGCUCAACACAGCGUAAAGCUCCAGCUGUGUUGAUUGAGCGAUUGAUGUCCCGAUGCAGCAGCAACGUAUUUUAACUGCAGUUGCAGCGUUGCGCCACUAUAGAGGCGCUAUAUCAACAGCAGUGCACCGGAAAGACUUGAAGCAUCUACCGAAGAAGAAACGGAUCGAAUCAUGUUUUUUCAAGUGUUUUUCCCGCUAGUUGGUGCUAUCGGCGUCCUGAUUUUCCCUGGCGGAUGGUACAAACAGGUAAAUACUGCUUCUCUUUUUUGCAUCCAAGCAUGUCGUGUUUAUUUAAAAAAAAAGUUUACUCCGUUUUUAGCGUUGCAGAUAUGACAGGCAAAAUCAGCCAGUACUUUAAAAAGCGACCUCGCGAGGAGGAAAGUCAAGAGUCCAGGUGAAACACAGCAGAGAAAAAACGUAACAGGCAGUUAAAAUGCUAUAAUUCAUGUUGGUGACAACGUGGAAAUUUGUGUCAGGUCUGAAAGUACUUCACAAGGGACUGGUGAUCGCGAGGGUCAGAAUGCAGGACAGGACGAGUCGGCGAGGUGAGGGUAAUUAAUUAAUUAGUUUUCAAUUAGGAGCAUAACAACGCAAAGCCGACGUGUACGUGGUUUUUAUUCCUCUUUCCAGAUCUUCUCAAAAACACAGAGCCAGUGGCUUUGACAAGCAGUGGCUCAAUCAAUUUACCUGGCUCAGGCAUACUGAGGAAGGCAUGCACUGCUAUUUAUGCCAAAAGCACUGUGCCCCAACACAGCAGGCAAUUGCUGCCUCCUUAGUGAGACAGCCAUCAACCAACUACAGGCUGGACACAUUAAAAAGACAUGAGGUGACAGCCAUUCACAAAGCAGCAGAAGAGAAGGAGAAAUAUAUUAAAGAUGGUAGUACCUAAAAAAAACUCAACUAAUAAAGUUACAAAAAAUAAAUAACAUAGUUUAGAUAGUUUAAGAAAUAAUUGGUUGUCGUUUUUUUUUUUUAGAGAGGACACUGCAGCGUAUACAUAUAUAUGAUUGAAAACACUAUCACUCUUCAUGUCUGUAUCAGAAUAAAAACAAAAAUACUUAAUGCAUGAUGAACUGUUUUGUUUAAGGUGAAGACACCUCUGUGGAACAGACUGAAGGAGAGGCACUUGGAUGUCUGUUGUAAGGUGGCCGUUGAUGGACCAGACCAGGAGGCCUUGGACUACAAGGAGUGCAUGAGGAGGUUCUACAGAAUGAAAAAGAGGAGGCUGAAAUGUUCUGUCUGGUUGCGAGAUGUGUGGAUGAAGUGUACUUUCAAUUUAAAGUUGCCAGCUGAUUUGUGUAUGUAUAUAGUUUUAAUAAAUGAAUGCUUUAACAUAAUAAUGGUCACACUCUUUUUUUAGUCUUAAAGUAACUUAAAGUAUGUUGCCUGUAAAAGAAAGUGAAUCGGUUGAAUUUACAAAUACAUGCACGUCGUGGCGCACGGUCAGGAUGGUGCCACCUCCGCCUCAAUUUGAGCCAGGAAAAACCCUGA
Molecule: long non-coding RNA, 1575 nt
Filed under: Xyrichtys novacula (pearly razorfish)
Lineage: Eukaryota; Metazoa; Chordata; Actinopteri; Labriformes; Labridae
Source: RNAcentral